RNAcentral lists this transfer RNA (56 nucleotides) under Pseudomonas sp. AAC. RNAcentral describes it as "tRNA-Lys". It matches the Rfam family "tRNA", at positions 8 to 61 of the family's 71-position model. From Rfam's summary of the family: Transfer RNA (tRNA) molecules are approximately 80 nucleotides in length. Lineage: Bacteria; Pseudomonadati; Pseudomonadota; Gammaproteobacteria; Pseudomonadales; Pseudomonadaceae. The record is from RNAcentral.
UAGCUCAGUCGGUAGAGCAGUUGGCUUUUAACCAAUUGGUCGUAGGUUCGAAUCCU